This 460-nucleotide ribosomal RNA is filed under the name uncultured bacterium. Its description in RNAcentral is "partial 16S ribosomal RNA". It matches the Rfam family "Bacterial small subunit ribosomal RNA", at positions 338 to 795 of the family's 1533-position model. The record is from RNAcentral.
CCUACGGGAGGCAGCAGUGAGGAAUAUUGGUCAAUGGACGGAAGUCUGAACCAGCCAUGCCGCGUGCAGGAAGACGGCUCUAUGAGUUGUAAACUGCUUUUGUACAAGGGUAAACCUGAAUACGUGUAUUCAGCUGAAGGUACUGUACGAAUAAGGAUCGGCUAACUCCGUGCCAGCAGCCGCGGUAAUACGGAGGAUCCAAGCGUUAUCCGGAUUUAUUGGGUUUAAAGGGUGCGUAGGCGGAUUGAUAAGUUAGAGGUGAAAUGUCCGAGCUUAACUCGGGAACUGCCUCUAAUACUGUUGAUCUAGAGAGUAGAUGCGGUAGGCGGAAUGUAUGGUGUAGCGGUGAAAGGCUUAGAGAUCAUACAGAACACCGAUUGCGAAGGCAGCUUACCAAACUAUAUCUGACGUUGAGGCACGAAAGCGUGGGGAGCAAACAGGAUUAGAUACCCGAGUAGUC